GGUAGGAUACUCAAGUGGUUGAAGAGGUCUCGUUGCUAACGAGAUAGGUCGUGAUGAGCGACGCGAGAGUUCGAAUCUCUCUCCUACCU
This 89-nucleotide transfer RNA is filed under the name Lactobacillus sp. A27. RNAcentral's name for it is "tRNA-Ser". It matches the Rfam family "tRNA". From Rfam's summary of the family: Transfer RNA (tRNA) molecules are approximately 80 nucleotides in length. Their secondary structure includes four short double-helical elements and three loops (D, anti-codon, and T loops). The record is from RNAcentral. Lineage: Bacteria; Bacillati; Bacillota; Bacilli; Lactobacillales; Lactobacillaceae.